RNA transcript from Miniopterus natalensis, 9207 nucleotides. It is a transcript of the gene named PLAG1 zinc finger, with no coding region annotated. The record is from RefSeq and is a predicted model, not a curated record. Lineage: Eukaryota; Metazoa; Chordata; Mammalia; Chiroptera; Miniopteridae.
CUAUUUAACAGCCAUAAUGCUUAACUUGACAUUAGGUAUCUAUCCUGCCGCUACAACUAGCUUGUAUGCUCCUAGAGAAGAGAAGCCAUGUCUGUUUGCAUACCCACUAAUUCAGAUUGGUGCCGUGUAUACGAGGGUUGGUAAUAUUUUCUACAUCAUUGUCAGGUGUUUAUCUAAAUAAAGUGGUAGCCGUGUAUAACUGAGCAUUGAGUUUCUGGCUUAGGGAAAUGAAGCAGAUGAUCCCUGCAUAGAGUGCCUGCCAUUCCUUUUCUCUCUUGGCUAUUGCGCAUAGAGGUAGGUCUUCACUACCUGCACCCGCAGAACAGAGCUGAGAAUCCAAAACUGUGAUUACUUCAGAAUACAUUUUGGGUUUUCUUUGUGUGUUGUUGAAGAUGGACUUUCCACCUGUGAAUGCACUUUAAGAUGAGUACUGUCUCCUCAUGAAGAGUUAUGUCCAUGUCCUUAUCUGCACUCGUGGUUUGCACCCUUUCCUGGGAACAGAUGCCUAAGGGACACACUCCUCAGGAAACCAGAAUCUACAUCUCAGAAGGUUUUUCCCAAGACUGUUAUAAAGAAAAUAGUGAUGUUUAGAAUAUAAGUGAAAAAAUAGCAAUUUUGAGAAAUAGCAGUAGACUUCAAAUAAAAAUAUGAACAGUUUAGAUAACUUAAUUGUGACUCGGGGAAAAUAUGUUAAUAUAGGGAUACUGAUUUAUUUACUUUUCACUUUUCAAUGUACUGUAAAUAUUUUGUUUUACCUUUGUUUCUAACAAGAUUUAAGAUAGAUUUUCCAAUAAAGAUAAAAUAUAAUGAAUAUGAAUAAGUGAUAAUGAAAAAAAAACAAUUUGGUUCAUAUGCCAUUGACCAGAUUUGGUCUGACUUUUGGAAUUUAAAACUAACUCUUCUUUUCUUUUUAGGUUGCCUCUUGGUGCUGCUUUGGCCGUAUUUGGCACCCAGAAUGCUUCAUUCUGUCAUGGUCUAUUAAUAAGGUUACCUUGCUAGAGUUUGGAGCAGGGGCUCAGGUAGGUGGCUUUUAUCAUUAUAUGGCAUGGCUUUCAAAGUGAUCAAUCACUCCAGUUUCUAAAUAACAUAAGAUAAAAUAUUAAAGCUUUGAAAAGCAUGCCACAUAAUAAGCAUGCCACUUACUGUCUUAAGGUCUGUCUAUACAUAUUGUGUGCAGUAGGACUUCAUUAAUAGUUACAGUCUGAUGGAAGGAUUGGAAUACUGACAAGGAACAGUCUUCCUUACUCUGCACAAAAUGCAUAACUGCUUAAAUAAGAACUUAUUUAAUCAUGUCCUCAAAUAGCCCACAGGUGAACUCUUAAGCUCUUCUUUCUCAGGACCCUGCUCAGAGUAAUUAUCCCAUGUUACCACUAUAUCUCUUUCUGCUACUGGGAAAGAUCUGCUUAUCUAUAAGCAGGUGGGGAGGAAGGCUAGCUUUGCUUGCCGGGAUGGGGCAGGUACUAAAACAAGGAGCUCAGUGGGUCAACAGCAGUUUGUUAGCGCUUGUUGGAAAGAGGACAUACACAGGCAUCUAGAUUUCCCAGCCUGUAGAUGCAGCUCAGUGGCACAGAAUCUAGGUGUAGCAAUACUUGGAAAUAAAUACACAUGGAUUUCGCUUCAGGUAAGUCUCAGCAGGGCCUCCAGACACAGGAUUGAGGUUUAGAGGCCAGGACUGUCAGCCCUAGGGUGGGAAGACUGGUAAAAACAAAGAUGGCUGUGACAAGUGCCAGAGGAUGGGCUCAAACUCUACCGACGGUAGGCAGGGCCUCACAGUCUACAUGAAUAGAGCUUUAUAAUCAAAUAAAAGGUACAUUGAUUAACCUGAUUAAAACUCUCUAAUCACAGCAUUCUAUGGAGAUUAAGUAUAAAAUCAACUUAGCAUAACUUUUUUGGUCACUUGUAUAUUAUAAAUAUUUUUUAAAUGUAUGAAAAGAUGUUAAUGGUUUUUUAGUGUUUCAAGUUACAGAUAUUUUUUUUCUUUUUCUACUUCAUUGUAGUUUUUAAACUUGUUUUAACGAAGCUGGUUUUUUGGCAGCCAGGAAAAGAAAAAAGUUUUAUUUCUUUUACUUAGUCAACUACAUUUACAUAGAUUUUCUCUCUUGAUUUCUCUUGUAUAUGCAAUCAGUCAAAGGUUUUCUCUGAUAUUUUCAAUGUCCUCCUCACAUUUUAAUUCACAUGAACACAUCCUCUUUAAAGAUUUUGAAUUUGACUUUGUCCCUUUUUCCGUCCCAUAAAACUUCAUUGGCUAUUUCCAAAUGGUAAAUUGUUAUCAGUAGAGGUGACAUGUGCUUAAGGAGAUAUGAAACAGAACGUUUGAAAACACAAAUGUUCUGAAAAAUGCCGACCAACUAAGUGCUGCCCAGUGUGUUUCUGUGCUUGUCAGGAUGCCUGCAGGCCUCUGAGCAGCAUGUGCCCAUCUCCCUAGUUUCUGACAUCCACUGACAGAAACAGGACAGACUCCAGGUGGUCGUGAUGCUCCCCUGAAUUUCCACCCCUCUGUCAAAACAAACAUUUCAUUCUGUGAGGUUUGUCUUCUAAGCUUGCAUUAAACCAGCUUGAGAUUCCAGGAACCCCAAAAUGUGUUUACCUGCUUGUUUUGAUUCCUAAAAUUCUUUUAAGGGACUAUAGUUAUGUUCAACAGAUAUUUAUCAAAUGUCUACUGCAUGCCAGGUCCCUGACCAGGUGCUGGAGAUAUAAAGAUGAAUAGUAGUCUCCCUGCAGGUGAAUUUACAAUCCUGCAGGAGAGACAGGGGAUUUCAAGAAGAGCUUUACAGUCCGUAUUUUAGAGGUAAAAGGCUCAGAGAGGUAAAGUUCUGAAGUUCAUUCUUGCUCAAGUAAAAUUAAAAUUGGUCAAAGAAUAUGAUUGUCAAAUCUCUUCUACUUGUGACAGCUGGAGGAAUGCAUGGGUCCUCUGCAAGUGGAACAGGGAGUAGCCACCCCUGACUUGACAAUUUUGCAUAGAACUGACCCAUUUGCCUUCAAUUAUGUGGAAAUAAAUACAGGUGGUUGUCUCCACAGUGAUUUUGUCCUGGACAGCCACAUAGGCAUAACUCGGGGAGGACAGAGUCAUGGCAUGUAUGGCGCCUUCCCAGGAUGUGGGUUCUGCUUCCAUUGGAUUGUUUAGUGCUACUAAAGAUUUUCCACACACACUUAACAUUCAUACUUCAUGUAUAGCAUAGCACAAGCCUAUAUUUAAAGUGCACUUUACUUUGAGAUGGCUUAAAACUAAUUCUCUGCAUGAGCUUUUAUAAUUAAGGAAAACCGUCUUUCCUCAUUACUUUGUCUUAAUGUGUAUUAUUUCUGCCUUUUCAUUUGAAUUUAUAGACAGAUUCAGUAUGAGUGCUUGGUGAGUUCUAACAUGAAACCUGGAUUAUGCUGUAUUUGUAAUUUUAAUAGCAUUAGACAGUUAACCAUAAAUGAAUGGAGACAUGUCCUCCAAGUGUUUAGGAUUCUUCAGUGUGAACAUGUUUAUAGUUGGUAUUAAGCAUUUUUAUUGUAGCCCCAGCAAUUUAAGGGGUCAGUGGUACUAAAAAUAAAAACAAGUCUGCAAUUUGGAAACUACGCAACUUUCAGAUUGAGAUGAUUUGUGAGCUGCAUACUUUAUAAUCCUAGCCAGAGCACUAAUAUUUUGGAAAUGCUUUAUACAAAAAAACAACAACAACAACAAAAAACAGACAAAACCAGGAAAACUUCUAAAAAAUGGUUUAAGUUUUCAUUAAGCAGUCCUAGUUUGUAUAAAGAUAUAAUUGCGACUUAUUGCUCUCUCAUACAUCAUUGCUUCCCUCUUGCACCAUUUGUCUUUCAUUUCUUGUUUGCAAAUACUAACUGCCCUAUGUGAAGAAAAUGAAAACACCCCUGAUGUACCACUCAUCUGUAUUUUUUCAUUUUAUUUUGAUAAGAAUAUACAACCAAAGGGGGGAAAUCCCCCACGUAGUGGUUAAAAUGAAAUGCUAACUUCUAAGUUAUAGACCUUUAAAAGAGAGUUUCUAAAAGGAAAGAAACCUUUUUAGCCUAAACAUUUUUGCUCUAUAAAAUAAUUAACCAAGGAAAAUAUUUCUGAAUUGGAAGAUAAAAUUUAUUUAAAUACUCCAUCAUCAUCAGAGUGUCUGUUCAUUCUCUCUGGGCACUCAACAAAACCAUACCCAGGUUUAAGGUGGCCCCAAAAGGAACAUCCUAAUUUACAGAUAAGAAAACUGACAUUAGAUUUUGUUGGUUCUGCUUUGGUGGAAUUCAUUGAUUUUUUUUUCCCCUGUUGGUUCUUAAAAUCAAAUGCUUCUGCUAUUUUCCUUCACUUCUCUGUUUGCUUUUUAUUUGUAUAUUAGAUAUAAGGCUUUCUAAAUAUCAGUUAAGGCUAAAUUUUAAUGGUAAAUUUCAAAAGGGUUAUCUUAGAUGUGCAUUUUAAUGAAUUGCUCAAACGUUGAAAAUAUCAAAUACAGCAAUUCAAAGAAGGCACCCCUGUUUUUAAUUAAUUUUAGUUAACUAGGACACCCACUAUAGGAAACUAAGUGCUGAAUUUUCAGUAUUCCAAGUAUAAGAUGAGUUAGCUCCAGCUUUGGCGGGUCAGGCGCAGACCCAGUGCUUUGCUGUCUCCUGCUUUGCAGUGGGCACUCCAGCUCCUUUCUCUUCUCCUCUUGAGACAUCAGCAGCCCUGUCUAACCAGCUAAUCAUCCAGCCAUCCUUCGUGCUCCAUGCCAGGCAUGGAUGCAGGGACUAGGCAUGUUUUCACUUCAGAAAUUUUUAUUUGGAAUGGGAACCAAAUUGAUAUUAUCUUCUUGUACUAAUUGAUUCCUUAGCAAUAAGAUCAAUGAGAGAAGGCUUGUUUUCUGAAACAAAACAAAUAUUUUUAGACAGCUCUUAUUACAGUUGCUAUUGUUUCAAUCUAAGACUUUACAAAGCUAAGUUUCAAAAAUGCCUUUCUAGUGGCAUUUAGUUUGUUGAACCAAAUUGCAGCCAUACUGUUUUAUUUUUUACUUGAACAUAGAUGUGUAUAUUCUAUCCUGGGUCCACUAUAGUGACUGAGCAAGACUAUAUUUCAUUUGCUGGAAAACACUUGCCCUCCUUUAAUUAUUUGCAUUCAUUCACCAAAAAUUUUACUUUUAUGAGAAACAGCAGUGAAUAAAACUGGCACAGCUCCUGCCCCAGUGCUGCCUACAAUCUAUUUUUAAUUCUAAGAUAUUUUACAGUUACAAGAUAUUUUUUUCCUUUUAUUCUUUAAUAAGUAAUUUUACAGUCCUGCAAAAAUUGAGUACUGUAAAAAUUUCCACAUUACUAUAUAGGAUCAAAAAAAUAUUUCUAAGUAUGCUGUUGCUCUUCAAUUAUAUUAUCUUGUUAAUAAUCUAUUUCACAUUAUUCAAAGCUUUAUUGUGUCUUACAUAUGUAAAUUAAAGUAUUAACUACUGGUAAGUUUCCUUUUGCUACCUACUUAUUUACUCUAUAUGAAAAACAUGUUUCAAGCAAAUGUUGACAUUUUCUGAAUUGUUUUCUAAUGGUGUUUUAUGAUUAGCAUAAAGGAGACUAAAGCUUUGAUUAUGAAUGACAUUUGCCCUUAAUUAGCAAAGUAUAUGUUUGACUUUUAACAUAAAUAUGAAGGAAUUAUUGAUGCAGGUAAGUGUUGUAAAAAUUCACAGCUAGUAGAGAAUGACUUUCAGAACUGUGGCAUUUUAAGUAUAGAAACAGUUUCAAUAGACGUCUCUUCCUUUGCCAGCAUCCUCAUAGGAAUUUGUUUUAGUAGACCCUUGAUGUGUGAUUCAUUUUCACUUGUUAUUUUUCUGUGAGUCACUGUUUUAAAAUGUAAAACAUGGAAGAUAAGCCUGUGCACACACAAUAUCCCCUUUAAUUAUUAUUUUUAUGUAUGCAAAGUUGCCCUAGGAAUAAAUGCCUGUCCUGGUAUCAGCAAAACCUAGAAGGGUAUUCUGAAGUGCUGUUUCAUCUUAGGGUAGUUUGAAAUGGUUAUAUGUACAGUUUCUACCUUGUUUCACAAUUCUUCAGAUCAAGCUAAGGUGAACUUUAAUAAUUUGAAAAGCAUAGUAACCAAUGUUUAAUAUGUAAAAAGAAAGAGUACGAAUUUUGUUGUGCACUUUUCAGAAGAGUAGUCACUGUUUUCCUUUUUAAAUGUUUUUUAAUCCUAUAAAAGAAUACACAAAUAAUUUUAGUUGACAUUUUAGUUAUAGGUUUAUAUAAAUGCACACUAUAUUUUUUUAUGUUUAUUAUACUAGGCCAAAUAAUAAUGAACUCUAACCAGCUCCUAGUUUCUUUUGUUUAGGGAAAUAAUUAGCAGUCCUUUGAAAUUAUUUGGCCACUUAUAAGAACUCAAAAUAGUUAGGUCAAAUUUAGGGAAGUUAUCGUAAUAUUGGAAUUAUGUUUUGUGAUAAAAUGAACGAAAAUGAUCGCUUUAUUUGUGAUUUCAUUUCAGACUAUAAAAUAUGUAACAGGUAAUUUAGACCUGUAAUAUUUCAACUCAAGAUGUUUAAUUUUAAAGUAUAUUGAAAUACUUCUACUCUAAAGGAUUUUUAUAAAUGCCAAUGGACAGUAAGCAUAAAUAAAAUUUUUAUGAAUGUAUUUGAGAUGCAGUAAAAAUUAUGUUGGUCAGGAAAAGAAGAAAGAAUAUAUGAUUUGUUGUUUACUAGUCAACUUUGGUUUUAGAUUUUUUCCUACCCAAAUCACUAUCCAUUAGACAAUUAUACUAGUCAUUAUUUUGACUGUUACUUAUAUUAUUUAAAAUUUACUUUGCAAACUGUCUUUAUUAAAAGAAGCCUUUUAAAUCGUAAAUGUAUUUUCCUUGGGGGAUCAUAUUGGCAGCUCUGAUAGAGAAGAUAGGCACUACCUCCUGUUCUUGUUUUUUAAGUGGAAUGACAGAAUUUAUCUACUUGCAAAUGGGUUUGCCAACUUGCUCUUUUAGAUUGCAUUAGAAUAAGAGUGAAACAGGAGUUUUAGGGCAUAAGCCCCUGUUUAACCACAAAUACGCUGUCAAGAUGUUCAGCUUCUCUGGGCCUGUCACCUUAAAAUGGCAGUGAUGAUAAAUGUGUCCACCUCUCAGAUCCAUUGAAUUCCAGGGAGGUAAUAGAGAUGGAAACGCUCUACACUUGUAAGGUAUUUAUAUUAUUUAAAUAACAGAAUACACAAAACAGACUCAUAUUCUUAAUUACUCUACCAAACACUCAGUAUGUGCCCUGGGCAAGUAAGUAUUUACAAAGUUAAUUUUAUUAUUUCGCAGUUUUGAUGUGCAGAAUUCAGCUCUUCCAUUUAUGCAUGUCCUUGCUUUACAAAAGAAUGGAGCUUUUGCUUUAACUUUUUAAAUAUCUUUUAUUAGUCUAAAUUUUUACUUUUCUUGUCUUAAACCAUGAGAAUAAUGCUGCUUUCAAAUACACCCUUAGUAUUUUUGUAAUGAUGCUUGAAUGUGCUCUAUUAAAUAUUUUACUUACACAUCAUCAAAUUCUUUAAAUACAUGAAAAUUUGAUUUCAAGGGAAAUUAAUUAGAUUUGUGUUUAGAACAUUAAGUAAUAUUUUCAUUUAUUCUGUCAUUUGGUGAAUCCUUAUUGUAUUUUAGCUAUUUGAUUUAUAUUAUCCCUCUCGAGUUCCUUUAAUCAUGAUUCUGAACAUUCAUCUCUAAAAUACUCAGUUUACUAAGCUCUCUGUGCCCUGUACUCUCUCUAAUAGAUCAUUCCAGUUUUUUCUGCCUGUGAGCACUAUUUUCACACUUACUUGUACAAUCAAAAAUUAUUAACAGUUUUUUUUGUAUACGUGGUCUUAGUCUCCUGAAGAUCAUGCUGCUAAUAGGCAUUUUCAAGAUAUUUUAAGAUUUUUAGCAGUGAACUCUUAAAACCAGAUGAUGCUUUCUUCCUGAUAUCCACUUCUUCUAUAGCAAACCUAUAUUUAAAUUCCCUUGCAUGCUUUUGAAAUAUGAAGAGCACAGAGUUAUUGCUACAUUUCAGCAAUCCUUGCAGCAUUCAGAGAGAUAAAUUGACAGGUAUUGCAGGUAACAAGCCCAAUUGCACAAGCAUGUGCAGUGUGGGCAUGUGAGGUGCUGUCAUCAGGAGGCUGCUGUUCUUUGGUGACGUUCCAUAUGCAUUCCAAGAGAGAACUGAGUUUUUCUCUUCCAUAAUAUUAAGCUUAAUAAAACUUUGAUCCAUUUGAUUUACAAAUAAUAACUCUAAUAUCCAUUUCUCUCAGUAGGCAAGUUAGAUUUAAAAAGUUAAAUUAAAUUUGGGAAAGAAGUAGGGAGUCAUUCAGCAUCACAAAAUGCCAUUUAUGUAGGUAAUACUAUUUUACUCUUUGUUUCUGCAUUUAUUUGGUCGUGUAAAUGUGCUUAGAACUAAUAAAUUUGCAAUUGGUGAAAAUUAAUGCAUGACUUGUCAGCAGAGUAUGGAAUGUAAGCAUGUGCCAUGAAAUUGCAAUUCUUUUAUUCUUUAUUUUCCGUCAUUUACAUAUUGGUUCCGUUUAGAGUGUAGUACAUUCUUAUUUUUUGUUUCAUAGAUUGGCCAAAAUGGGAAGGACUGGAUUCUGCUCUCUUCCACGAAGAGUCAGUGGGACUGGCUAAGAUCAAGGUCUGAGGCUUUUUCCAUCUGUCAUCAGGUAUUGUGCUAUAAGCCAAAAGUCCCACUGGUGUGCUGCACAUGGGUUACAGGUGUGUCAAAGACUGACCCCUCCGCUCUUGGGGAGGCCUGAUGACUCUGGCUCAGUCUGCCCAAUGAACAGAAUCAUUUUCUAUGAUGCGAAAAGCGGUGAGGAAAAUCACUUCGACCAAAUCCUCCUUCCCUCCACAUGACAUGGAGCCAUGAUCCUCACCUAAUGUGACAUCAAAACGCUUUACCAUGUCAGGAAUGCAUAUUUGUUAUGAAGAUAAGUCAUUUCUACUCUUGACUCAGAAAUUCCUCUGCAUGUGAUGACACUGGUAUAAAGAAUAAAUUUUCAUUUUGGGUGAUGCAUUCAACUCUUUCAGGCCUCUGGUGUCUGUGCCUUGAAUAGGUCUUCCAUGGACUAAAUGGUUCACAAGGUGCCUAAAAGAGUUUUCAGUUGCUUAUUUAUAUUUUAUUUUCCUGUAAUAAAGAAUGUGACUAGAGCCAACUUGUACAAAUUAAAAUGAUUUUGACAUUAAAUAUUUGUGGAAACGUUUUUAUGUUCUCAGUCAGAUUUAUGUUCUCUAGUCCCUUGUAAAAUUUGAAGCAUAAUAAAGUCACUUUUAGUGUCAUGUUUUUUGUUUGUUUUUUU